UACGUAGGGGGCAAGCGUUGUCCGGAAUCAUUGGGCGUAAAGCGCGCGUAGGCGGCCCGGUAAGUCCGUUGUGAAAGUCGAAGGCUCAACCUUCGAAAGCCGAUGGAUACUGCCGGGCUAGAGUACGGAAGAGGCGGGUGGAAUUCCUGGUGUAGCGGUGGAAUGCGCAGAUAUCAGGAGGAACACCAAUAGCGAAGGCAGCUCGCUGGGACGUUACUGACGCUGAGGCGCGAAAGCGUGGGGAGCGAACAGG
RNAcentral lists this ribosomal RNA (253 nucleotides) under uncultured bacterium. Its description in RNAcentral is "partial 16S ribosomal RNA". It matches the Rfam family "Bacterial small subunit ribosomal RNA", at positions 524 to 776 of the family's 1533-position model. The record is from RNAcentral.